GUUAGUGGGGAGUCUUACAACGCGUGGGUAACCUGCCCUAUGCAGGGGGAAAACGUUUGGAAACGAACGCUAAUACCGCAUAAACUAUGGACAGUCGCAUGACUGUUAUAGCAAAGAUUUUAUCGGCAUAGGAUGGACCCGCGUUGGAUUAGCUAGUUGGUGAGAUAACAGCCCACCAAGGCGACGAUCCAUAGCCAGCCUGAGAGGGUGAACGGCCACAUUGGGACUGAGACACGGCCCAAACUCCUACGGGAGGCAGCGGUGGGGAAUAUUGCACAAUGGGCGCAAGCCUGAUGCAGCGACGCCUCGUGAAGGAUGAAGGUCUUCGGAUUGUAAUCUUCUAUCAGCAGGGAAGAAUAAAUGACGGUACCUGACUAAGAAGCUCCGGCUAACUACGUGCCAGCAGCCGCGGUAAUACGUAGGGAGCGAGCGUUAUCCGGAUUUACUGGGUGUAACGGGUGCGUAGGCGGCAUGGUAAGUCAGAAGUGAAAUUUUGGGGCUCAACCCCAUAGCUGCUUCUGAAUCUGCUGCGCUAGAGUGUGGGAGAGGAAAUUGGUAUUCCGAGUGCGUGUGACAUGCGUCUAGAUCCGGAUUGCACCCGUAGCUCAUGCGG
This 613-nucleotide ribosomal RNA is filed under the name uncultured bacterium. RNAcentral describes it as "bacterial SSU rRNA". It matches the Rfam family "Bacterial small subunit ribosomal RNA", at positions 97 to 724 of the family's 1533-position model. The record is from RNAcentral.